AACGCGAAGAACCUUACCUGGGCUCGAACGGCUUUGGAAACUCCUUGGAAACAGGGAUUUCCCGCAAGGGACCGGAGUCGAGGUGCUGCAUGGCUGUCGUCAGCUCGUGUCGUGAGAUGUUGGGUUAAGUCCCGCAACGAGCGCAACCCUUGUCCUGUGUUGCCACUCCCCUUAAAAGGAAGCACUCGCAGGAGACCGCCAGCGAUAAGCUGGAGGAAGGUGGGGAUGAUGUCAAGUCAUCAUGGCCUUUAUGUCCAGGGCUACACACGUGCUACAAUGGACGGUACAAAGCGCUGCAAACCCGCGAGGGGGAGCUAAUCGCAAAAAGCCGUUCUCAGUUCGGAUCGCAGGCUGCAACUCGCCUGCGUGAAGCUGGAAUCGCUAGUAAUGGCGUAUCAGAACGAUGCCGUGAAUACGUUCCCGGGCCUUGUA
Molecule: ribosomal RNA, 432 nt
Filed under: uncultured Acidobacterium sp.
Lineage: Bacteria; Pseudomonadati; Acidobacteriota; Terriglobia; Terriglobales; Acidobacteriaceae
Description: bacterial SSU rRNA
Rfam family: Bacterial small subunit ribosomal RNA
Source: RNAcentral